This 596-nucleotide ribosomal RNA is filed under the name Escherichia coli. RNAcentral describes it as "bacterial SSU rRNA". It matches the Rfam family "Bacterial small subunit ribosomal RNA", at positions 107 to 699 of the family's 1533-position model. The record is from RNAcentral. Lineage: Bacteria; Pseudomonadati; Pseudomonadota; Gammaproteobacteria; Enterobacterales; Enterobacteriaceae.
UGAGUAAUGUCUGGGAAACUGCCUGAUGGAGGGGGAUAACUACUGGAAACGGUAGCUAAUACCGCAUAACGUCGCAAGACCAAAGAGGGGGACCUUCGGGCCUCUUGCCAUCGGAUGUGCCCAGAUGGGAUUAGCUAGUAGGUGGGGUAAAGGCUCACCUAGGCGACGAUCCCUAGCUGGUCUGAGAGGAUGACCAGCCACACUGGAACUGAGACACGGUCCAGACUCCUACGGGAGGCAGCAGUGGGGAAUAUUGCACAAUGGGCGCAAGCCUGAUGCAGCCAUGCCGCGUGUAUGAAGAAGGCCUUCGGGUUGUAAAGUACUUUCAGCGGGGAGGAAGGGAGUAAAGUUAAUACCUUUGCUCAUUGACGUUACCCGCAGAAGAAGCACCGGCUAACUCCGUGCCAGCAGCCGCGGUAAUACGGAGGGUGCAAGCGUUAAUCGGAAUUACUGGGCGUAAAGCGCACGCAGGCGGUUUGUUAAGUCAGAUGUGAAAUCCCCGGGCUCAACCUGGGAACUGCAUCUGAUACUGGCAAGCUUGAGUCUCGUAGAGGGGGGUAGAAUUCCAGGUGUAGCGGUGAAAUGCGUAGAGAUCU